GGCGCCACGCAUUUCCCUCCCGCGUCUUCUCGCUGGCUCUUGGUGGUGGCUGCCGUGCCGCGCCGCGGCGAAGUCGCCUCCGUCCCCCUGGGGAUCCUCCGUAGCAGUUCCCGUUUGUGCCGGCUCACGCCGGAGCCGUGAAAAGGGCGGGCCGCUGUGAGGAAAGGCCCCGUCCCCCCUCCCCACCCUCCUGUCUUUGUCUCCUGCCCGCCCCUCCGCUGGCCCUGCGGCUCGGCCAGCGGGCCUGCCGCCAUUUUCUCGGGCGCAGCUUGCCCAGUGCCCAGCAUAAAUGAGAUCCCGGCUUGAAUAUAAGAAAGAAGGAUGAUGCUCUUUGGACAGCAAAAAUGAGCGGUAAGAAUUCCAGGAGCAUGAAGCAUGUUUCACUGAAUAGUCAAAGGCUGGGUAAGAUCAUCAUGAAGUGCCUACAACCUUUUCUUCUUUCACACAGUGCAUCCACAUGCAUUCUCAUUUGUCUGUGGAAUAAAUUUGCUAUAGUAAUACCAGAAGCAGUGCUAGCAUACUUGCACUUAGGGCCAGUCCCUGAUGUGGCACUUUUCUGGUACUGGCUUACAGCUCAAGGAGAGCUAUGGUGAAUUCAGUAGCGCUGAAUGCCAUGCCACUGUUUCUUAGCAGACUUUGAAGAAAUUAAGAAUUGUGGUAAGUAUAACAGGAAGUUUAAAAUUGGCACGUCUCAUAUUUUACAUAAAGAUUCAUAGAAGUGUGACAAUAUGUCUGCUUAUCUGUCCUAGCCAGAACAAGAGUCCAGUAGUGUCUGUAGUAAAGAAAUCAAUGAAAUUAAGAGAAAGAAAGAAAAAAAAAGAGGCUGUUUUUUAUUAAUGCAUUUGUUAAUAGCACAUUUAUCUGAGCAUUUUCACAUCUAAAAAAAUAUUUCAGCUCUGUGACACAAUAGAUCUGGACUUUGUAUUAAGGCAAUUGUAGUGAAGACUGCAACAAUGGCGUGCUGUCUACUGCCUCGGUCAGGAUUGCUCUGGUCGCUUCAGUGAGCCUCCUUUGACAAGACAUCUGAAGGUGCAAAGCUGUAAGAAAAAUGGAGUGUAACCACAGUCAUAAUCUGACUGUUCGAGGCAGCAGGAGAAUAACUACCACAGAAGUCAGGGAAAAUUGCAUCAUUUCAUUUUCAUUUGUGAAUGGUACUGAAGGUACUUUGUCAGUUUCUGAAGACAGCUACAUGCACCUUGUCUAAGACUAUUCUUUUAUAGCUUACAUUAUUUGUGGAGAAGCAGACAGUUCUGUCCUUGUAAAUGGAUUGAUCGCCAUGCCUUUCAUCUGGUGAUCCUCUCUGGAGAGAGCACCACUCUUCCACAGCCUUUCAUUAUCUCCCUCUACACUUCCUACAGAAUGGAAAACAUUUUUUUAAUCUUUCUUGCCAUCACAAUGCAGACCUCUGACCUACAGCCAAAGCCAUUUGUGUCUCUGCUGCUCCAGCUGCAGUGUGCCAAAGACCUCUUCUCUAUAUUGCUUUCUAGGCACUGCAGGGAAGAUGGUCAUUAAGUUAGUCAGCAACGCUGGCUAUACUUGGCUCUGACUAAGUAUCCAACCCUUUCAUAGUGCAAAAAAAGAUAAUUUUUUUUUUUUUUUCCUUACCAUCAGGUGACGUGUAGGCAUAACGGAAUUUUGCAGGCCAAAAGGAUCUCCAAAGAUCCAGAUCUAAAGACAGCCUGGAACUGGUUGCUCCUGAGUGGUGAGCAAUGGCAAGGUUAGCUACUCCUGCUGCCAUGCUGGAGUUGGAAAGGGUGGUGACAGCACAUCAUGUUUUUAUGAGUGACUAUCCAUUUCCUGGACUACGCCAUAGCCAAGGAGGCAGCGGAGCCACAGUAUUUCACUGCUGCCCCCUGUCUACUACCUAUUUUGCUUUUACCUAUAGCUACCUACAAGCUUCUUGCAUCAUGAUUUUUAACUUUCUGAGUGACUUAGAAUUCAGUGCAAUGUUUGUGAGAAGUCAGCUGAUUUGGAAAAGAUGAUGAGAUGCGAUUGUAAAGAAAUGGUGAAUUCUCAGUAGCAAUUACACCAUGUUACUGUCGGAUGGUUACACUGAGAACUACAAACUAAUUUGCAGCUAGGUUGUGUCAUUUCCUCUCUUAAGACUGUGUGAGAGAGGACUUGACUUCUGGUCAUAUUCUCAAGUAUAGAGACCUGGUAUAAGUAAGUGACAGUGAAAGAAAUUUAGCCACCUAUUCAGAAAAAUAGAGGGCAGGCUUCCUGUGAAUCUUGAUAUUGCUCACUUGCUGUUGUUUCUAGUUAAACACACGUGCUAAGAGUUUAAUCCACACAACUGAUGUGAAUUACAUUUCCCUUUUUCCAAAGUUGGCUCAAAACACUCAGCUGCAGAGUCAUUCAUUCUUAUUUCUCAGCUCACUAUUUUAAGGGCUGAUGGAAUGUAGCAAAGAACAAGAUUCUUAAUGUCCAUGUCCUGGUAUUAGUGUUCCUGGGAGAAUUUCUGAGACCCCCUGAAAUCCAGCAUUGUAGGAAUGUUGUGAGCGAAGGCUGGUCUUUUUCACUUGUAUUGUAUUCCAUAUAAAGACCAUGAAUGCUCUUUGAUCUACAGGUUUGCAGACCAAGGCUUGCAUUCCUAACAGAUCUUGGGAAGGCACUAUUCACUUCAAAUUCUUUGGAAAUUCCACCUGAAUGCUAGCAAAACUGGAUCCGUGUUCCUGCUCUCAGUAUGCGUAUACCAAUUAUCUCAUAUAUUAACAAAAGAAAACUUGUUCUGUUGGGGUUUGUGGUGGUGGUGAUUUACUUUAAAGAAAGUACCAUGUUCAGUUCUGUGCUAUUUCCUGAACUCGUGUGUUUCAUAUUGUGUUGUACCAUCCUCUUUUAUUACGCUUAUAUGAAUUAAUGUACAUUUGAGGAUCUCUGUCAUGUUAACUGUGGCACCUCAGCAUAGAACACCACCCAUACAACUGAAAACAAGUUUCUGCUUCCCAUUCCACCAGUGAAGAAGUGUUACUUAGUGAAGAAGUGUUAGACUAAAGAUUGCUUGGGAUUUCUUCUCAGAGACUAAAAAAUGUUCAUUGUAGACCAAAUUCAA
Molecule: long non-coding RNA, 3049 nt
Organism: Aquila chrysaetos chrysaetos
Lineage: Eukaryota; Metazoa; Chordata; Aves; Accipitriformes; Accipitridae
Exons: 2
Source: RefSeq, a predicted model, not a curated record